Molecule: ribosomal RNA, 468 nt
Filed under: uncultured bacterium
Lineage: Bacteria
Description: partial 16S ribosomal RNA
Rfam family: Bacterial small subunit ribosomal RNA
Source: RNAcentral
GACGAACGCUGGCGGCGUGCUUAACACAUGCAAGUCGAACGGAAAGGCCCUGCUUUUGUGGGGUGCUCGAGUGGCGAACGGGUGAGUAACACGUGAGUAACCUGCCCUUGACUUUGGGAUAACUUCAGGAAACUGGGGCUAAUACCGGAUAGGAGCUCCUGCUGCAUGGUGGGGGUUGGAAAGUUUCGGCGGUUGGGGAUGGACUCGCGGCUUAUCAGCUUGUUGGUGGGGUAGUGGCUUACCAAGGCUUUGACGGGUAGCAGGCCUGAGAGGGUGACCGGCCACAUUGGGACGGAGAUACGGCCCAGACUCCUACGGGAGGCAGCAGUGGGGAAUAUUGCACAAUGGGCGGAAGCCUGAUGCAGCAACGCCGCGUGCGGGAUGACGGCCUUCGGGUUGUAAACCGCUUGCGCCUGUGACGAAGCGUGAGUGGCGGUAAUGGGUAAAGAAGCACCGGCUAACUACGUG